Molecule: ribosomal RNA, 608 nt
Filed under: uncultured bacterium
Lineage: Bacteria
Description: bacterial SSU rRNA
Rfam family: Bacterial small subunit ribosomal RNA
Source: RNAcentral
AUGCAGUCGAACGGUAGCACAGAGAGCUUGCUCUCGGGUGACGAGUGGCGGACGGGUGAGUAAUGUCUGGGAAACUGCCUGAUGGAGGGGGAUAACUACUGGAAACGGUAGCUAAUACCGCAUAACGUCGCAAGACCAAAGAGGGGGACCUUCGGGCCUCUUGCCAUCAGAUGUGCCCAGAUGGGAUUAGCUAGUAGGUGGGGUAAUGGCUCACCUAGGCGACGAUCCCUAGCUGGUCUGAGAGGAUGACCAGCCACACUGGAACUGAGACACGGUCCAGACUCCUACGGGAGGCAGCAGUGGGGAAUAUUGCACAAUGGGCGCAAGCCUGAUGCAGCCAUGCCGCGUGUAUGAAGAAAGCCUUCGGGUUGUAAAGUACUUUCAGCGAGGAGGAAGGCAUCAAGGUUAAUAACCUUGGUGAUUGACGUUACUCGCAGAAGAAGCACCGGCUAACUCCGUGCCAGCAGCCGCGGUAAUACGGAGGGUGCAAGCGUUAAUCGGAAUUACUGGGCGUAAAGCGCACGCAGGCGGUCUGUCAAGUCGGAUGUGAAACCCCCGGGCUCAACCUGGGAACUGCAUUCGAAACUGGCAGGCUAGAGUCUUGUAGA